GCCGGGUUGGUGAAAUGGAAGACACUCCUCGCUCAGAACGAGGCGCUUGAAGGUUCGAGUCCUUCACCCGGUA
RNAcentral lists this transfer RNA (73 nucleotides) under Flavobacteriales bacterium. RNAcentral's name for it is "tRNA-Leu". It matches the Rfam family "tRNA". Rfam says of the family: Transfer RNA (tRNA) molecules are approximately 80 nucleotides in length. Lineage: Bacteria; Pseudomonadati; Bacteroidota; Flavobacteriia; Flavobacteriales. The record is from RNAcentral.